AAUAAGAGGAAUUAGAGUACCCCAAAAGUGUUAAGAUCUAUGAAUCUGUCUGUCCAUUCCCGGCCCUCUCGUGGGUCUCACGCGGCACAGCCAAAUUAAAGAAUCAAAAAGGGAAUAAUAGGCCAUGGGUCCGUAAGUUUUAUAUAAUCACAAAUAAGGAUAUAAUUUUCAACUUUUUUUAUAUAGAUCUUUUUGUUUCUAUAUUUUAUUUUCAUAAAAGUUAGGAGACUAAAGCAAAAAAGAAGAAAUAAUAAUAAUAAAAUAACUCUACCUCUCUAAGGGAUGGCAAAACUAAUAAACAAAUAUAAUCCGAAUCGAAUCUUAAUCGAAUUGAAUCAAAACUCCACUGAUUCAAAUUUGAUUUGUUUAUUAAAUGAAUUACGAUAUCAAAAUUCAGAUUUGAUUUGUUUAUUAUAUGAAAAUUCGCUUUGAUUCGUUUAAUUUAUUUAGUAGAAUUAAUAUAUGAAUCCAAUCGAAUAUAGAUUCGCUUAUCUCAUAAUAAACAAAUCCAUAACGAAUCGAAUUGAAUAUGAAUUUGUUUACAAAUGCUUUAAAUAAAUUUGUUACCGAUCAGGAGAAAAUGACGACGGAUCAGACGAAACUAUCUCGAUGAUCAACGAUUCAAGACUCGAGUUGAGAGAUUUCUAGCUAACAAAUAAUCGGCGGCAGCAAGUAACACAACCCAUGAAAGUGUUCUUUUGUUUCGCGCCCUCCAGCACUUGUGGCUGUGAAGAGGAGGAGGCUUUUGGCUUUGAGCGAUGAAGAAGAAGAGGAAGAAGUUGUUCUGAAGAAGAAGAGUUAUAAGAGGAAGCUAGUAAAUGAUUUUGACAGAUUUGUGCUGCUGCUGAUGAUUUGAUUGGAGUGACAAUGAAAAGCAAGUUACUAAAAGGAGAUGAUGAGAAGGAAGUGAGUCUGAAUCCUGCAAAGACCACCAAAAACACCAAGAAUGUGAAGAUUGAUAUUAGAACUUCUCCAAGAUAAGCUAAGCGUAAAUAAAAAAUGAAUUGAAUUUGUUUGAUCUUUUAUUACUAGUAAAGGGUGGAUAAAAAUUAAGUCAAAUUAUGCCUGCCCUCGCUUAUAUAUUUU
RNAcentral lists this long non-coding RNA (1086 nucleotides) under Citrus sinensis (sweet orange). RNAcentral's name for it is "long non-coding RNA (CSIN_LNC000657)". The record is from RNAcentral. Lineage: Eukaryota; Viridiplantae; Streptophyta; Magnoliopsida; Sapindales; Rutaceae.